RNAcentral lists this ribosomal RNA (477 nucleotides) under uncultured bacterium. Its description in RNAcentral is "partial 16S ribosomal RNA". It matches the Rfam family "Bacterial small subunit ribosomal RNA", at positions 28 to 507 of the family's 1533-position model. The record is from RNAcentral.
GAUUAACGCUGGCGGCGUGCAUAACACAUGCAAGUCGAACGAUGAAACUUAACUGAUUUCUUCGGAAUGAUUUUAAGUGGAUUAGUGGCGGACGGGUGAGUAACGCGUGAGUAACCUGCCUUGGAGAAGGGGAUAGCCUUUGGAAACGAAGAAUAAUACCCUAUGAUAUGAUAAUAUCUCAUGAUAUUAUCAUCAAAGAUUUAUCGCUCUAAGAUGGACUUGCGUCUGAUUAGUUAGUUGGUGAGGUAACAGCUCACCAAGGCAGCGAUCAGUAGCCGGCUUGAGAGAGUGUACGGCCACAUUGGGACUGAGACACGGCCCAGACUCCUACGGGAGGCAGCAGUGGGGAAUUUUGCACAAUGGGGGAAACCCUGAUGCAGCGACGCCGCGUGAUUUAGAAGGCCUUCGGGUUGUAAAAAUCUUUUGUAUGGGAAGAAAAUGACAGUACCAUACGAAUAAGGACCGGCUAAUUACAUG